RNAcentral lists this ribosomal RNA (463 nucleotides) under uncultured bacterium. RNAcentral describes it as "partial 16S ribosomal RNA". It matches the Rfam family "Bacterial small subunit ribosomal RNA", at positions 28 to 507 of the family's 1533-position model. The record is from RNAcentral.
GAUGAACGCUGACAGAAUGCUUAACACAUGCAAGUCGAUGGGGAAGUGGUGCUUGCACCAUGGCAACCAUGGCGGACGGGUGAGUAACGCGUAAGGGACUUACCUGCAGGACUGGGAUAACAGGGGGAAACUCCUGACAAGACCGGAUAAUGUCAUGGAGCUGCAUGGCUUUAUGAUGAAAGGAGACGCCUGCGGAGAGCCUUGCGUCCUAUUAGCUAGUUGGUGAGGUAAUGGCUCACCAAGGCGAAGAUAGGUAGCCGGCCUGAGAGGGUGGACGGCCACAAGGGGACUGAGAUACGGCCCUGACUCCUACGGGAGGCAGCAGUGGGGAAUAUUGGACAAUGGGGGCAACCCUGAUCCGGCAAUUCUGUGUGCACGAAGAAGGUUUUCGGAUUGUAAAGUGCUUUCAGCAGGGAAGAAGUAAGUGACGGUACCUGCAGAAGAAGCGACGGCUAAAUACGUG